AGUGAACGCUGGCGGUAGGCCUAACACAUGCAAGUCGAACGGCAGCACAGUAAGAGCUUGCUCUUACGGGUGGCGAGUGGCGGACGGGUGAGGAAUACAUCGGAAUCUACUUUUUCGUGGGGGAUAACGUAGGGAAACUUACGCUAAUACCGCAUACGACCUACGGGUGAAAGCAGGGGAUCUUCGGACCUUGCGCGAUUGAAUGAGCCGAUGUCGGAUUAGCUAGUUGGCGGGGUAAAGGCCCACCAAGGCGACGAUCCGUAGCUGGUCUGAGAGGAUGAUCAGCGACACUGGAACUGAGACACGGUCCAGACUCCUACGGGAGGCAGCAGUGGGGAAUAUUGGACAAUGGGCGCAAGCCUGAUCCAGCCAUACCGCGUGGGUGAAGAAGGCCUUCGGGUUGUAAAGCCCUUUUGUUGGGAAAGAAAAGCAGCAGGUUAAUACCCCGCUGCUCUGACGGUACCCAAAGAAUAAGCACCGGCUAACUUCGUG
RNAcentral lists this ribosomal RNA (492 nucleotides) under uncultured bacterium. Its description in RNAcentral is "partial 16S ribosomal RNA". It matches the Rfam family "Bacterial small subunit ribosomal RNA", at positions 29 to 507 of the family's 1533-position model. The record is from RNAcentral.